Transfer RNA from Pseudomonas syringae pv. tomato str. DC3000, 73 nucleotides. It matches the Rfam family "tRNA". Rfam says of the family: Transfer RNA (tRNA) molecules are approximately 80 nucleotides in length. The record is from Rfam. Lineage: Bacteria; Pseudomonadati; Pseudomonadota; Gammaproteobacteria; Pseudomonadales; Pseudomonadaceae.
GGGGCUUUAGCUCAGCUGGGAGAGCGCCUGCAUGGCAUGCAGGAGGUCAGCGGUUCGAUCCCGCUAAGCUCCA